GACAGAGGGUGCAAACGUUGCUCGGAAUUACUGGGCGUAAAGCGCGUGUAGGCGGGAAGAUAAGUCGGGUGUGAAAUCCCUGGGCUCAACCUAGGAACUGCAUUCGAAACUGUCUUUCUGGAGUGAUGGAGAGGAAAGCGGAAUUCCCGGUGUAGAGGUGAAAUGCGUAGAGAUCGGGAGGAAGGCCGGUGGCGAAGGCGGCGCUCUGGAACAUUUCUGACGCUGAGGCUCGAAAGCGUGGGGAGCAAACAGG
This 253-nucleotide ribosomal RNA is filed under the name uncultured bacterium. Its description in RNAcentral is "partial 16S ribosomal RNA". It matches the Rfam family "Bacterial small subunit ribosomal RNA", at positions 524 to 776 of the family's 1533-position model. The record is from RNAcentral.